This 503-nucleotide ribosomal RNA is filed under the name uncultured bacterium. Its description in RNAcentral is "partial 16S ribosomal RNA". It matches the Rfam family "Bacterial small subunit ribosomal RNA", at positions 30 to 523 of the family's 1533-position model. The record is from RNAcentral.
AUUGAACGCUGGCGGCAGGCUUAACACAUGCAAGUCGAGCGGGGUGAUGGUGCUUGCACUAUCACUUAGCGGCGGACGGGUGAGUAAUGCUUAGGAAUCUGCCUAUUAGUGGGGGACAACAUCUCGAAAGGGAUGCUAAUACCGCAUACGUCCUACGGGAGAAAGCAGGGGAUCACUUGUGACCUUGCGCUAAUAGAUGAGCCUAAGUCGGAUUAGCUAGUUGGUGGGGUAAAGGCCUACCAAGGCGACGAUCUGUAGCGGGUCUGAGAGGAUGAUCCGCCACACUGGGACUGAGACACGGCCCAGACUCCUACGGGAGGCAGCAGUGGGGAAUAUUGGACAAUGGGGGGAACCCUGAUCCAGCCAUGCCGCGUGUAUGAAGAGGGCCUUAUGGUUGUAAAGCACUUUAAGCGAGGAGGAGGCUCUUUUGGUUAAUACCCAGGAUGAGUGGACGUUACUCGCAGAAUAAGCACCGGCUAACUCUGUGCCAGCCGCCGCGGUAA